CGCAGCCGAGGGACUCUGGAGACAGCCAGCCCCGGGCUUACGGCUCAGGGUGAAAUGACGCACGCUACAGCAGCGAAGGGCGUUCCACGGGGGCACUGGAGCAGCGCUGAGGCUGUCGGAUCAUCCCUCCCUGUCUCGCGAUAUCGCGUUCUCCGCACACUGAGCAUUGUUGUUCUUGGGAAGUACACGUGAGAAAUGGGGAGAACUGGUCCGGUCCAUGGUCACUCGGAAAGCUGUCCUGCAGUGUUCUCAAGCUUUUUGUCACUGAAUAUUUCAUGUUGCCUUUGUAGAUGACUGACAAUUUGACUAUAAAUAGAAUUCUUCCGUUACGACUCCGACCCACAAAGCUGUAUGAGUUUAUUUUUAUGGUUUACUAUUCUGAGGAGACUUCAGUGUGCAGGUAUUUUUCGUAUUAAUUUUGCUGUAUUCAUUUCAUUCUUUGUUUUUCUGCUUAUGUAUAAUAGUGGGCAAUUAUCUUUGACAUUUAAAAAUAAAAUACCCUCUCACCCAUUCCUAGCUGUUGAUAUGUUCGCAAUGAAUCUUUUGCUAAAAGUUGACGAGUGCCGACCACGACUGUAGGUAGGGAAGGCGGGAAGGCGAGCCGAGAGGAAGGGGAGCAGGGGACGCCAGAGAGAAGGGGGAGGGGCGACGGCGGGCGGAGCA
RNAcentral lists this long non-coding RNA (663 nucleotides) under Microcebus murinus (gray mouse lemur). RNAcentral's name for it is "lncRNA (ENSMICG00000048647.1)". The record is from RNAcentral. Lineage: Eukaryota; Metazoa; Chordata; Mammalia; Primates; Cheirogaleidae.